This 318-nucleotide ribosomal RNA is filed under the name uncultured soil bacterium. RNAcentral describes it as "bacterial SSU rRNA". It matches the Rfam family "Bacterial small subunit ribosomal RNA", at positions 26 to 372 of the family's 1533-position model. The record is from RNAcentral.
AGAACGAACGCUGGCGGCAUGCCUAAUACAUGCAAGUCGAACGAACACUUCGGUGUUAGUGGCGCACGGGUGCGUAACGCGUGGGAAUCUGCCCUUGGGUUCGGAAUAACAGUUGGAAACGACUGCUAAUACCGGAUGAUGACGAAAGUCCAAAGAUUUAUCGCCCAGGGAUGAGCCCGCGUAGGAUUAGCUAGUUGGUGAGGUAAAGGCUCACCAAGGCGACGAUCCUUAGCUGGUCUGAGAGGAUGAUCAGCCACACUGGGACUGAGACACGGCCCAGACUCCUACGGGAGGCAGCAGUAGGGAAUAUUGGACAAU